ACAGGUGCUGCAUGGCUGUCGUCAGCUCGUGUCGUGAGAUGUUGGGUUAAGUCCCGCAACGAGCGCAACCCUUAUCAUUAGUUGCUACGCAAGGGCACUCUAAUGAGACUGCCGGUGGACAAACCGGAGGAAGGUGGGGAUGACGUCAAGUCCUCAUGGCCCUUAUGGGUAGGGCUUCACACGUCAUACAAUGGUCGGUACAGAGGGUUGCCAAGCCGCGAGGCGGAGCCAAUCCCACAAAGCCGAUCGUAGUCCGGAUUGUUCUCUGCAACUCGAGAGCAUGAAGUUGGAAUCGCUAGUAAUCGCAGAUCAGCACGCUGCGGUCGAAUACGUUCCCGGGCCUU
Molecule: ribosomal RNA, 344 nt
Filed under: uncultured Thiobacillus sp.
Lineage: Bacteria; Pseudomonadati; Pseudomonadota; Betaproteobacteria; Nitrosomonadales; Thiobacillaceae
Description: bacterial SSU rRNA
Rfam family: Bacterial small subunit ribosomal RNA
Source: RNAcentral